This 299-nucleotide long non-coding RNA is filed under the name Homo sapiens (human). RNAcentral describes it as "long non-coding RNA NONHSAT157739.1". Lineage: Eukaryota; Metazoa; Chordata; Mammalia; Primates; Hominidae. The record is from RNAcentral.
UGCUCUCGCCACAGGUCUUUCUUUUUCAAAAGCGAACAGCUACAGUAUCCAUCAUACUCCAGAGCAGCCCUCAAAGCCUGGGCUGUUGAGAGUGCACAUCCUGGCCUGCGGUGACAGCCGUCAGAUGGUGAGGGGCCCCAGGCGACUGCCCCAGCAGCAGGGCCUGGGAGCUGCACAGGGUAGAACUCGAUAAGGAGCAUCAUGAGCAUAGUGGGUCCAUUGACAACAUGCAGUCCCCACGGUGGUGCCUAAUGACAAAAUGACAUCAUGCCACCCUCAUGAAGCAGGCAGGACAGGUG